GACAGGGGGCUCGAGCGUUAAUCGGAAUCACUGGGCCUAAAGGGUGCGUAGGCGGGCCAGUAAGCGUCUUGUGAAAUCCCCCGGCUCAACCGGGGAACUGCGGGGCGAACUGCUGGUCUUGAGGAAGCUAGAGGCCGGUAGAACGAUUGGUGGAGCGGUGGAAUGCGUAGAUAUCAAUCGGAAUGCCGAAAGUGAAGACAGCCGGCUGGGGCUUUCCUGACGCUGAGGCACGAAAGCGUGGGGAGCAAACGGG
Molecule: ribosomal RNA, 253 nt
Filed under: uncultured bacterium
Lineage: Bacteria
Description: partial 16S ribosomal RNA
Rfam family: Bacterial small subunit ribosomal RNA
Source: RNAcentral